RNAcentral lists this ribosomal RNA (450 nucleotides) under uncultured beta proteobacterium. RNAcentral's name for it is "bacterial SSU rRNA". It matches the Rfam family "Bacterial small subunit ribosomal RNA", at positions 418 to 860 of the family's 1533-position model. The record is from RNAcentral. Lineage: Bacteria; Pseudomonadati; Pseudomonadota; Betaproteobacteria.
UCGGGUUGUAAACUGCUUUUGUACGGAACGAAAAGCUUUGGGUUAAUACCCNGGAGUCAUGACGGUACCGUAAGAAUAAGCACCGGCUAACUACGUGCCAGCAGCCGCGGUAAUACGUAGGGUGCAAGCGUUAAUCGGAAUUACUGGGCGUAAAGCGUGCGCAGGCGGUUUUGUAAGACAGAGGUGAAAUCCCCGGGCUCAACCUGGGAACUGCCUUUGUGACUGCAAGGCUAGAGUACGGCAGAGGGGGAUGGAAUUCCGCGUGUAGCAGUGAAAUGCGUAGAUAUGCGGAGGAACACCGAUGGCGAAGGCAAUCCCCUGGGCCUGUACUGACGGCUCAUGCACGAAAGCGUGGGGAGCAAACAGGAUUAGAUACCCUGGUAGUCCACGCCCUAAACGAUGUCAACUGGUUGUUGGGUCUUCAUUGACUCAGUAACGNAGCUAACGCGU